GCAGGCGCAGGAUGCGUUGAUCCACGCCGAUGGCGUCGGCGCGCCUGGUGAACGUGUCGGCAUCCAGCGUGCCGCGCUGCUUCUGCA
This 87-nucleotide transfer RNA is filed under the name compost metagenome. RNAcentral describes it as "tRNA-Ala". The record is from RNAcentral.